RNAcentral lists this ribosomal RNA (1918 nucleotides) under Campylobacter coli. RNAcentral describes it as "partial 23S ribosomal RNA". It matches the Rfam family "Bacterial large subunit ribosomal RNA", at positions 1 to 1777 of the family's 2925-position model. Lineage: Bacteria; Pseudomonadati; Campylobacterota; Epsilonproteobacteria; Campylobacterales; Campylobacteraceae. The record is from RNAcentral.
AAAAAAGGUAAGCUACUAAGAGCGAAUGGUGGAUGCCUUGACUGGUAAAGGCGAUGAAGGACGUACUAGACUGCGAUAAGCUACGGGGAGCUGUCAAGAAGCUUUGAUCCGUAGAUUUCCGAAUGGGGCAACCCAAUGUAUAGAGAUAUACAUUACCUAUAUAGGAGCGAACGAGGGGAAUUGAAACAUCUUAGUACCCUCAGGAAAAGAAAUCAAUAGAGAUUGCGUCAGUAGCGGCGAGCGAAAGCGCAAGAGGGCAAACCCAGUGCUUGCACUGGGGGUUGUAGGACUGCAAUGUGCAAGAGGUGAGUUUAGCAGAACAUUCUGGAAAGUAUAGCCAUAGAGGGUGAUAGUCCCGUAUGCGAAAAACAAACCUUAGCUAGCAGUAUCCUGAGUAGGGCGGGACACGAGAAAUCCUGUCUGAAGCUGGGUCGACCACGAUCCAACCCUAAAUACUAAUACCAGAUCGAUAGUGCACAAGUACCGUGAGGGAAAGGUGAAAAGAACUGAGGUGAUCAGAGUGAAAUAGAACCUGAAACCAUUUGCUUACAAUCAUUCAGAGCCCUAUGUAGCAAUACAGGGUGAUGGACUGCCUUUUGCAUAAUGAGCCUGCGAGUUGUGGUGUCUGGCAAGGUUAAGCAAACGCGAAGCCGUAGCGAAAGCGAGUCUGAAUAGGGCGCUUAGUCAGAUGCUGCAGACCCGAAACGAAGUGAUCUAUCCAUGAGCAAGUUGAAGCUAGUGUAAGAACUAGUGGAGGACUGAACCCAUAGGCGUUGAAAAGCCCCGGGAUGACUUGUGGAUAGGGGUGAAAGGCCAAUCAAACUUCGUGAUAGCUGGUUCUCUCCGAAAUAUAUUUAGGUAUAGCGUUGUGUCGUAAUAUAAGGGGGUAGAGCACUGAAUGGGCUAGGGCAUACACCAAUGUACCAAACCCUAUCAAACUCCGAAUACCUUAUAUGUAAUCACAGCAGUCAGGCGGCGAGUGAUAAAAUCCGUCGUCAAGAGGGAAACAACCCAGACUACCAGCUAAGGUCCCUAAAUCUUACUUAAGUGGAAAACGAUGUGAAGUUACUUAAACAACCAGGAGGUUGGCUUAGAAGCAGCCAUCCUUUAAAGAAAGCGUAAUAGCUCACUGGUCUAGUGAUUUUGCGCGGAAAAUAUAACGGGGCUAAAGUAAGUACCGAAGCUGUAGACUUGCGCACAACUUAGAUUAUUUAAGUUUAGAAUAUGAGAAACUAAGUUAUAUGUUUAGUUAUAUUUUUACUGAUUUUUAUAGAGUAAAGAUAGAAAUAAAACUUAGUAAAAUCAGUAAAAAUAUUCUUAGACUAAAGUUAAGUAGUUUAAGUUGUGUGCAAGUGGUAGGAGAGCGUUCUAUUUGCGUCGAAGGUAUACCGGUAAGGAGUGCUGGAGCGAAUAGAAGUGAGCAUGCAGGCAUGAGUAGCGAUAAUUAAUGUGAGAAUCAUUAACGCCGUAAACCCAAGGUUUCCUACGCGAUGCUCGUCAUCGUAGGGUUAGUCGGGUCCUAAGUCGAGUCCGAAAGGGGUAGACGAUGGCAAAUUGGUUAAUAUUCCAAUACCAACAUUAGUGUGCGAUGGAAGGACGCUUAGGGCUAAGGGGGCUAGCGGAUGGAAGUGCUAGUCUAAGGUCGUAGGAGGUUAUACAGGCAAAUCCGUAUAACAAUACUCCGAGAACUGAAAGGCUUUUUGAAGUCUUCGGAUGGAUAGAAGAACCCCUGAUGCCGUCGAGCCAAGAAAAGUUUCUAAGUUUAGCUAAUGUUGCCCGUACCGUAAACCGACACAGGUGGGUGGGAUGAGUAUUCUAAGGCGCGUGGAAGAACUCUCUUUAAGGAACUCUGCAAAAUAGCACCGUAUCUUCGGUAUAAGGUGUGGUUCGCUUCGUAUUAGGAUUUACUCCGAAAGCG